This is a small nuclear RNA of Oryza sativa Japonica Group (Japanese rice), 161 nucleotides long. It matches the Rfam family "U1 spliceosomal RNA". Rfam says of the family: U1 is a small nuclear RNA (snRNA) component of the spliceosome (involved in pre-mRNA splicing). Lineage: Eukaryota; Viridiplantae; Streptophyta; Magnoliopsida; Poales; Poaceae. The record is from Rfam.
AUACUUACCUGGACGGGGUCAAUGGGCGAUCAAGAAAGGCUCAUGGCCUAGAUCAAUGCCUCACAUUGCACUUUGUGGGUGGGUUGGUUUACCAUCUCCCCAAGCGGGAGAGUGGACGUCAUAAUUUGUGGCAGAGGGGGUACGCGUCCGCGCGGCCCCUA